Molecule: long non-coding RNA, 346 nt
Filed under: Capra hircus (goat)
Lineage: Eukaryota; Metazoa; Chordata; Mammalia; Artiodactyla; Bovidae
Description: lncRNA (ENSCHIG00000001493.1)
Source: RNAcentral
ACUGCAUGAAGCACGGGUCAUGAGUAAACUUUUAUAAAAGUAAUUAGUGCUCACAGCAAAUCUGGGAGAAGAAAGGAGGGUCAGGGGAUCAGAAGUCAUUCAAACAUCAUAAAGGUAUCCUUUUUGGUGUUUACAGAACGAUGUCCUGCUGGGCACAGAAGCAGGAAGCAAGCCUGUCUCCUCUCAGCACCUGCUAACCGGGAACAAGAUGGAUUUGUAGACUGACUCACAUAACACAGUGGAAGUCCUUCAAUCAUUGGCCUAAGAUGACAAAGCUGAUUCCAUCUAGAACAUUCCCAUUUCUUGUGGUACAUGAAGAAACAUUUGGUGAGCACUCGCCAAAGCA